RNAcentral lists this RNase P RNA (337 nucleotides) under Vulpes vulpes (red fox). RNAcentral describes it as "Nuclear RNase P (ENSVVUG00000029361.1)". It matches the Rfam family "Nuclear RNase P". From Rfam's summary of the family: Ribonuclease P (RNase P) is a ubiquitous endoribonuclease, found in archaea, bacteria and eukarya as well as chloroplasts and mitochondria. Its best characterised activity is the generation of mature 5'-ends of tRNAs by cleaving the 5'-leader elements of precursor-tRNAs. Cellular RNase Ps are ribonucleoproteins. Lineage: Eukaryota; Metazoa; Chordata; Mammalia; Carnivora; Canidae. The record is from Rfam by way of RNAcentral.
GUACUCUGAAAGCUUACAGUUUUAUAAGUUUUUAUAAGUUUAUAGCACUGAUCAAAGUAACUGAAGAUGAAGUCUGAGACUAGGGCCAUAAGGUGACCCUAACAGAAUCCUCCCUGAGUUUUGGAGAGGUGAAUUUCCAGAAAAUGGAGCUUCACAGAAAGGCAGACUGGGCAGUGCAGAUAUCAUGGACACCACCCUUGCAGAGUGGCCUGGUGGAUGCCUCCUUAGCCAGAGCUUGGAACAGGCUCACGGCCAGUGAGUGAAGUGAAUUCAAAGGCUGAGGUGAAGUACCCUGCGCGGGGCCUCACAACUCAAUUCAGACUACUCUCCCUUGUCC